RNAcentral lists this ribosomal RNA (492 nucleotides) under uncultured bacterium. RNAcentral's name for it is "partial 16S ribosomal RNA". It matches the Rfam family "Bacterial small subunit ribosomal RNA", at positions 29 to 507 of the family's 1533-position model. The record is from RNAcentral.
AGUGAACGCUGGCGGUAGGCCUAACACAUGCAAGUCGAACGGCAGCACAGUAAGAGCUUGCUCUUACGGGUGGCGAGUGGCGGACGGGUGAGGAAUACAUCGGAAUCUACUUUUUCGUGGGGGAUAACGUAGGGAAACUUACGCUAAUACCGCAUACGACCUACGGGUGAAAGCAGGGGAUCUUCGGACCUUGCGCGAUUGAAUGAGCCGAUGUCGGAUUAGCUAGUUGGCGGGGUAAAGGCCCACCAAGGCGACGAUCCGUAGCUGGUCUGAGAGGAUGAUCAGCCACACUGGGACUGGGACACGGUCCCAACUCCUAAGGGAAGGAGGAGGUGGGAAUAUUGGACAAUGGGCGCAAGCCUGAUCCAGCCAUACCGCGUGGGUGAAGAAGGCCUUCGGGUUGUAAAGCCCUUUUGUUGGGAAAGAAAAGCAGCAGGUUAAUACCCCGCUGUUCUGACGGUACCCAAAGAAUAAGCACCGGCUAACUUCGUG